This 387-nucleotide ribosomal RNA is filed under the name uncultured bacterium. RNAcentral describes it as "bacterial SSU rRNA". It matches the Rfam family "Bacterial small subunit ribosomal RNA", at positions 28 to 417 of the family's 1533-position model. The record is from RNAcentral.
GACGAACGCUGGCGGCGUGCUUAACACAUGCAAGUCGAGCGGUAAGGCCCUUUCGGGGGUACACGAGCGGCGAACGGGUGAGUAACACGUGGGUGACCUGCCCUCAGCUCUGGGAUAAGCCUGGGAAACCGGGUCUAAUACCGGAUAUGACUCCAUGACGCAUGUUGUGGGGUGGAAAGCCUUGUGCGGCUGAGGAUGGGCCCGCGGCCUAUCAGCUUGUUGGUGGGGUGAGGCCUACCAAGGCGACGACGGGUAGCCGGCCUGAGAGGGCGACCGGCCACACUGGGACUGAGACACGGCCCAGACUCCUACGGGAGGCAGCAGUGGGGAAUCUUGCGCAAUGGGCGAAAGCCUGACGCAGCGACGCCGCGUGAGGGAUGACCGGCC